AACGAACGCUGGCGGCAUGCCUAACACAUGCAAGUCGAACGAGACCUUCGGGUCUAGUGGCGCACGGGUGCGUAACGCGUGGGAACCUGCCCUUAGGUUCGGAAUAACUCCCCGAAAGGGGUGCUAAUACCGGAUAAUGUCUUCGGACCAAAGAUUUAUCGCCUUUGGAUGGGCCCGCGUUGGAUUAGCUAGUUGGUAGGGUAAAAGCCUACCAAGGCGACGAUCCAUAGCUGGUCUGAGAGGAUGAUCAGCCACACUGGGACUGAGACACGGCCCAGACUCCUACGGGAGGCAGCAGUGGGGAAUAUUGGAAAAUGGGAGAAAGCAUGAUCCAGCAAUGACGCGUGAGUGAUGAAGGCAUUAGGGUUGUAAAGCUCUUUUAACAGGGAUGAUAAUGACAGUACCGGGAGAAUAAGCACCGGCUAACUCCGUG
RNAcentral lists this ribosomal RNA (433 nucleotides) under uncultured bacterium. RNAcentral describes it as "partial 16S ribosomal RNA". It matches the Rfam family "Bacterial small subunit ribosomal RNA", at positions 29 to 507 of the family's 1533-position model. The record is from RNAcentral.